Molecule: ribosomal RNA, 253 nt
Filed under: uncultured bacterium
Lineage: Bacteria
Description: partial 16S ribosomal RNA
Rfam family: Bacterial small subunit ribosomal RNA
Source: RNAcentral
GACGUAGGGUGCGAGCGUUGUCCGGAUUUAUUGGGCGUAAAGAGCUCGUAGGCGGCUCGUCGCGUCGGCUGUGAAAACCCGCGGCUUAACUGUGGGCUUGCAGCUGAUACGGGCGGGCUAGAGUUCGGUAGGGGAGACUGGAAUUCCUGGUGUAGCGGUGAAAUGCGUAGAUAUCGGGAGGAACACCAGUGGCGAAGGCGGUUACCUGGAGCUUUGCUGACGCUGAUGCGCGAAAGCGUGGGGAGCGAUCCGG